Molecule: ribosomal RNA, 315 nt
Filed under: uncultured eukaryote
Lineage: Eukaryota
Description: partial 18S ribosomal RNA
Rfam family: Eukaryotic small subunit ribosomal RNA
Source: RNAcentral
CCCUUAGACGUUCUGGGCCGCACGCGCGCUACACUGACCAGUGCAACAAGCAUCCGUCCUUGGCCGACAGGCUCGGGCAAUCUUUGAACGCUGGUCGUGAUGGGGAUAGACUUUUGCAAUUUUUGGUCUUCAACGAGGAAUUCCUAGUAAACGCAAGUCAUCAACUUGCAUUGAUUACGUACCUGCCCUUUGUACACACCGCCCGUCGCACCUACCGAUUGAAUGGUCCGGUGAAGCCUCCGGAUUGGCGCGCACCUCGGUGCCGCCGAGAAGUUGGCUAAACCUUACCAUUUAGAGGAAGGUGAAGUCGUAACA